Molecule: transfer RNA, 75 nt
Filed under: Ovis aries (sheep)
Lineage: Eukaryota; Metazoa; Chordata; Mammalia; Artiodactyla; Bovidae
Rfam family: tRNA
About the family: Transfer RNA (tRNA) molecules are approximately 80 nucleotides in length. Their secondary structure includes four short double-helical elements and three loops (D, anti-codon, and T loops).
Source: Rfam by way of RNAcentral
GGGAUGGCUGAGUGGUUAAGGCAUUGGAGUUGAAAUUCUAUGGGGUCUCCUGGUGUAGGUUUGAACCCUGCUCCC